UACGUAGGGGGCAAGCGUUGUCCGGAAUCAUUGGGCGUAAAGCGCGUGUAGGCGGUUCGGUAAGUCGGCUGUGAAAGUCCAGGGCUCAACCCUGGGAUGCCGGUCGAUACUGCCGGACUAGAGUUCGGAAGAGGCGAGUGGAAUUCCCGGUGUAGCGGUGAGAUGCGCAGAUAUCGGGAGGAACACCAAUGGCGAAGGCAGCUCGCUGGGACGUUACUGACGCUGAGACGCGAAAGCGUGGGGAGCAAACAGG
RNAcentral lists this ribosomal RNA (253 nucleotides) under uncultured bacterium. RNAcentral describes it as "partial 16S ribosomal RNA". It matches the Rfam family "Bacterial small subunit ribosomal RNA", at positions 524 to 776 of the family's 1533-position model. The record is from RNAcentral.